This 496-nucleotide ribosomal RNA is filed under the name uncultured bacterium. RNAcentral describes it as "partial 16S ribosomal RNA". It matches the Rfam family "Bacterial small subunit ribosomal RNA", at positions 28 to 506 of the family's 1533-position model. The record is from RNAcentral.
GAUGAACGCUGGCGGCGUGCCUAAUACAUGCAAGUCGAGCGAACGGACGAGAAGCUUGCUUCUCUGAUGUUAGCGGCGGACGGGUGAGUAACACGUGGAUAACCUACCUAUAAGACUGGGAUAACUUCGGGAAACCGGAGCUAAUACCGGAUAAUAUUUUGAACCGCAUGGUUAAAAAGUGAAAGACGGUCUUGCUGUCACUUAUAGAUGGAUCCGCGCUGCAUUAGCUAGUUGGUAAGGUAACGGCUUACCAAGGCAACGAUGCAUAGCCGACCUGAGAGGGUGAUCGGCCACACUGGAACUGAGACACGGUCCAGACGCCUACGGGAGGCAGCAGUAGGGAAUCUUCCGCAAUGGGCGAAAGCCUGACGGAGCAACGCCGCGUGAGUGAUGAAGGUCUUCGGAUCGUAAAACUCUGUUAUUAGGGAAGAACAUAUGUGUAAGUAACUGUGCACAUCUUGACGGUACCUAAUCAGAAAGCCACGGCUAACUACGU